Molecule: ribosomal RNA, 253 nt
Filed under: uncultured bacterium
Lineage: Bacteria
Description: partial 16S ribosomal RNA
Rfam family: Bacterial small subunit ribosomal RNA
Source: RNAcentral
UACGUAGGGUGCAAGCGUUGUCCGGAAUUAUUGGGCGUAAAGAGCUCGUAGGUGGCCUGUCGCGUCGGCUGUGAAAACUCGGGGCUCAACUCCGAGCUUGCAGUCGAUACGGGCAGGCUAGAGUUCGGCAGGGGAGACUGGAAUUCCUGGUGUAGCGGUGAAAUGCGCAGAUAUCAGGAAGAACACCCGUGGCGAAGGCGGCUCUCUGGAACGCAACUGACGCUGAGACGCGAAAGCGUGGGGAGCAAACAGG